RNAcentral lists this ribosomal RNA (497 nucleotides) under uncultured bacterium. RNAcentral's name for it is "partial 16S ribosomal RNA". It matches the Rfam family "Bacterial small subunit ribosomal RNA", at positions 28 to 507 of the family's 1533-position model. The record is from RNAcentral.
GAUGAACGCUGGCGGCGUGCCUAACACAUGCAAGUCGAACGGAAAGACCAUGAGCUUGUUCCUUUGACGUUAGCGGCGGGCGGGUGAGUAACGCGUGGAUCAUCCACUUAUAUUUCGGGGAUAAUCUCGGAAAACCGGAUAUAAUACCAGAGAAUAUAUUGUACCGUUGGGUGCAAUAGAGAAUGUCGGCUUUGGGGGUUGUAAUAGCGGCUUCCGGGCUGCCUUAGCUAGUUGGUAGGGUAACGGCCUACCAAGGCGACGAGGCGUAGCCGAGCGGAGAGGGUGAUCGGCCACACGGGAGCUGAGACACGGACCAGACUCCUACGGGAGGCAGCAGUAGGGAAUGUUCGGCAACGGGCGAAAGCAUGACGGAGCAAGCCCGCGUGAGUGAUGAAGGCCUUCGGAUCGUAAAGCCCUGUUAUUGGGGAAGAACAGCUGUGGAAGUAGACAUGGCGGUCGUGACGGUACCGAAUCAAGAAGCACCGGCUAACUACGUG